Molecule: long non-coding RNA, 185 nt
Organism: Paramacrobiotus metropolitanus
Lineage: Eukaryota; Metazoa; Tardigrada; Eutardigrada; Parachela; Macrobiotidae
Exons: 3
Source: RefSeq, a predicted model, not a curated record
GGCCGAAGUGCAUGACGGCAUUCCGUUGAAUUUUGCUUUUCUGGAAAGUUUAAACUUGAAGGCAGGCUGCGGUAAAUUCAGCCCAGAAAUGGUGGAAAAGUUUAAAAAGUUGUUGCGCGCAAGGACGUUAUGCUUGCAGUGGAUUCGGACGAGAUUGAGAUUGAAGGCGUGAAAGACUUUCUGUG